AAAAAAGACAUUUAAUAACCAAUUACUAGACAAAAAUGGUUGGGUAGAUAAAACCUGUUCGAUGUAUUUUUCAUGGAUAAAUGUAGCAGGCCGAAAAUAGACAGAGAUAAGGGCGGAAGGGCUUUUUCUUUUUUUUUAUCAACUUCAACCAAUUCUAUUUCUGUUAUAUGGCCCAAUCCGUCCUAUAGAUAUCGAUUUGAAUAGGUAUCUAAGGGUGCCGCCAAUAACUCCGGAAUACGAAUUCCUUUAUUCUCCAAUAUUUAGGGAAUAUAAAUUGAAAAAAUCCCUUAUUCCAUUUAUUUAUUUAUUUCUUUUUUGUUCUAGUAAGAUUUUAUGCCAUUUUUGCAUAUUUCGAUUUAUUUCUUUUUUCUAAAG
This 375-nucleotide long non-coding RNA is filed under the name Citrus maxima (pomelo). RNAcentral describes it as "long non-coding RNA (CMAX_LNC004286)". The record is from RNAcentral. Lineage: Eukaryota; Viridiplantae; Streptophyta; Magnoliopsida; Sapindales; Rutaceae.